Molecule: long non-coding RNA, 311 nt
Filed under: Nicotiana benthamiana
Lineage: Eukaryota; Viridiplantae; Streptophyta; Magnoliopsida; Solanales; Solanaceae
Description: long non-coding RNA (NBEN_LNC012794)
Source: RNAcentral
AUAAGGGUUGAUGCGAUCGCAUAAGGUAGUUGGGUCUGCGGUCCCUAGCAAAGGUUUGUUCUAUGCGAGCGCAGAGGUGAUAUGCGAUCGAAUAGUGUUAUUUUGGGAAGGUGGAAAUUUGUGAAUUGUGAGCGAAAUGGAUGUGAUGCGAUCGCAUAGAGUAAUAACUGGACAGACAUAAUGGUUUUAAAUGUUAUUUCAUCCGCGACCUAUCUUACUUUUCCACCAUUUUGCCACCACCUUGGGAGUUGUUGGUUUACUUUGAAGGGUAUAUUGACAGGAAGUGAUUGGAGGUAGGUAUCGAGGCCUAG